This is a long non-coding RNA of Zea mays, 416 nucleotides long. RefSeq lists it as uncharacterized. The record is from RefSeq and is a predicted model, not a curated record. Lineage: Eukaryota; Viridiplantae; Streptophyta; Magnoliopsida; Poales; Poaceae. The transcript is spliced from 2 exons.
CUACAGGAUAUGGGGUGAUCAAGGCCAGGCUGCACUGGAGAAGGCUAGCAUAUGCUUGCUUAACUGUGGUCCUACCGGAACCGAAGCAUUGAAGAAUCUCAUGCUUGGAGGCAUAGGAAGUGUGACUGUUGUUGAUGGCUCCAAAGUUGAAGCAUCUGACCUGGGGAACAAUUUUCUGUUGGAUGAAGGAUGUUUGGGGCAACCAAGAGCUAAAUUUAUAUGCUCUUUCCUACAAGAGCUUAAUGACGCUGUUAAGGCCAAGUUUGUUGAUGAGUCUCCAGCGCAUUUGAUAGAUACUAAUCCUUCAUUCUUUUCCCAGUUUACUGUUGUUAUUGCUACCCAGGUGUGUUCUUCAGUCUACUUUUAAGAUUUACAAGAGCAACUGGUGCUAACCUGAACUUUUGGGUUUAUGAACA